UACAGAGGGGGCAAGCGUUGUUCGGAAUUACUGGGCGUAAAGGGCGCGUAGGCGGCCCGCUAAGUCGAACGUGAAAUCCCCGAGCUCAACUCGGGAACUGCGUCCGAUACUGGUGGGCUUGAAUCCGGGAGAGGGAUGCGGAAUUCCAGGUGUAGCGGUGAAACGCGUAGAUAUCUGGAGGAACACCGGUGGCGAAGGCGGCAUCCUGGACCGGCAUUGACGCUGAGGCGCGAAAGCUAGGGGAGCAAACGGG
Molecule: ribosomal RNA, 253 nt
Filed under: uncultured bacterium
Lineage: Bacteria
Description: partial 16S ribosomal RNA
Rfam family: Bacterial small subunit ribosomal RNA
Source: RNAcentral